GUCAAGGUGGCGGCCCCUAGAAGGGGAGAGGGUCUAUGUGCGCGUGGCCCCGUCCUGGAGCGGCGAGAAUCCGCAGUUUCCAGGGAAGUGAAGCAGGAAAAGCAGACUUUCGCCUCUUUUUUGAGUCUCCGUGCCUCUGUGUAGUCUUACAACACUGUCCUCCCACGCUGCCAGCUGAUAAAUGGAAUAUUGCCUGCCGUAUCAGUAAACAGAGGAUGUCAGUCAUCAGCGGUUGCAGCCACAGCUGAUGGUGAGCUGGUGAGCCUUGAGGAAACUCAGGAUAUUAAAACACAGGAUGCUGGCCCCAGAUAGCUGAGGUGCAUAUCAAAGGAAUGAUUUCGGGGCUGGAACGACUCGCCAGCACCUUUGUGCUCAGAGGAACUUCCCUGGAGUCCAGAUGUAUGACUAAGGAAGGAUGGCGAAUAGACAGUCACUCAUUCAUUGUGGAUUUAUUGAGUACCCACCACGUGCCAGGCUGUGUGCUAAGUGCUGAGGUUUAUAACUGUAAACAAAGCAGCCAUGGGCCCUGCCCUCAUGGAGUCACAGGCCAGUGAGAAGGACGGAUACUGAACAAAUGGACACACAUUUAUUUACGCAACUACAAGUUGAGAUGUGUUCUAUGAAAGAAAAGAGCAGGGUGUCUGACAGAGAAUGACUGGGGUACCUGAUUUUGGAAGAAGAUCUACAAGGCCUCUGAGAGAAAAGGCCGUCUAUGCUGAGAUGUGCAGUCAGCCAGGCAAAGAAGAGGAGGAAGAGUGUUUGAAGCAGUGGAUCCUCAGGCAAAGGUCCUGAAGCAGCAAAGAGCUUGGUGCAUUCCAGGGACUUUAGACAAACCAACCAACAACAAUGAGUAAAAGUAGAGGAGACUGGAGAAAUGAGGGCCCAGGAAGGGCCUUGUAAACUCUAUCAAACAAGAUCCCAAAGGAAAUAGAUAGCAUCCUCAAGCUGGGUAGAGAGUUUAAUAAAGGACUAUUAGGGGGACUUCCCUGGUGGCGCAGUGGUUAAGAAUCCGCCUGCCAAUUUAGGGGACGCGGGUUCGAGCCCUGGUCCGGGAAGAUCCCACAUUGCUGCGGAGCAACUAAGCCCGUGCGCCACAACUACCGAGCCCUCAUGCCACAACUACUGAAGCCUGAGUGCCUAGAGCCCAUGCUCCACAACGAGAAGCCACCACAGUGAGUAGCCCAUGCACUGCAAUGAAGAAUAGCCCCCGCUCGCGACAACUAGAGAAAGCCCAUGCACAGCAACAAAGACUCAAUGCAGCCAAAAAUAAAAUAAAUAAAUAAAUUUUAAAAAAAGGACUGUUAGGGAUUGUGUAAAUCCCUGAGGCUCCUAACAGCAGGUGUGGGCCAAGAAAGGAAGUAGUCAUCAGAACCUGAGAAAUAGGGCCACCUGCCAGAGCUGUGGCCUCGGGUCAGGAGAUGCAGCCAACUCAUGGCAACCCAGAAGGAAGGGGACUGGGAGUGUUCGUAUUGUGACCUCAGUGCAGGGAGGCCAGGGUGUGAGGGAGGAGGACACUAGGACAGUCUGUGGAGGCCGGCCUCCUGGAGGACAGAGUGGAGAAGGCACGUGGAACAGAAGACAGCAUGUACGCCUUGGGGCAGCCAAGGGUUUCUUUAUCCCUCCCCGGUGCUGCCAUUUCCCUGUUUAUCUUUCUACCUCAUUUAAUCUAGUGCAGCCACUUACUCUAGAAAUCCAGAAGGAAGGGUAGUGUCGUGCAGUGGCUCUCCAGCCUAAGUGGGCACCAGCACCACCAGGAGAGCUGGCUAAGCUCCACGGCCGAGCCCCACCUCGGUGUCUGACUGGUUGGGCUGAGGCUUGAGAAUCUGCAUUUCUAACAUUUGCAUUCCCAGGUGUUAUUGAGACAGCUGUCUUGGGUCAUUUUGCUAACUACUGUGUAGUAACUGACAAGAGUGUAUAGACUCUGGGAUUAAAUGGGACUCGUUUCAGAUCUCACCUCUGCUAUCUACCAUGUGUCACCUUUUUGAGCCUCUGAUAAACGGCUAAUAGUGCCCACUUGUGAGACUUAGAGAACAGAGACACCAUUACAUUUGUGGAUGUCAAAAAACACAGAAAAUCUGAAGAAAAAAUAUUUAUAAUAAAAUAGUAAACUUUAAGAAAAAAUCAGUAAGAGAAAGUAAGCUACCCCCAAUAGAAAAAAGUGGAAAUGUAUGAAGGGCAUGAAGUAGCACUAAAUCAAAGACUAAAAAUGACAAAAAAACACAUGAAAAGGUCUUAAACUUCACUAGUAAUGAAAGAAAUGCAAGUUAAACCACCCAUCAGCAUUGUUUGCCUGUUGAACUAGCAGGAAUGUUUUAAAAAAUGAAAAUAGUUCAUGUUGAAAAGGCUGUGGAGAAAGAGGCCC
Long non-coding RNA from Mesoplodon densirostris (Blainville's beaked whale), 2362 nucleotides. RefSeq lists it as uncharacterized. The record is from RefSeq and is a predicted model, not a curated record. The transcript has 3 exons. Lineage: Eukaryota; Metazoa; Chordata; Mammalia; Artiodactyla; Ziphiidae.